CUUUUUGAUUAUAAUUUAAAGUCUAACCUGCCCAAUGAUAAAAUUUAAAUGGCUGCGGUAUUUUGACCGUACAAAGGUAGCAUAAUCAUUAGUUUUUUAAUUGAAAGCUGGAAUGAAAGGUUGCAUGAAAAAAUGACUGUCUCUAUUUAAAUUUAAUUGAAUUUUAUUUUUAAGUAAAAAAGCUUAAAUUUUUCUAAAAGACGAGAAGACCCUAUAGAGUUUUAUAAAUUUAUUAUAAGGAAUUUUUAGGAUUUAAAAUAAUUUAUAUUUAAUUUAUUUAAUUGGGGUGAUUGAAAAAUUUGUUAAACUUUUUUAUUUAUAUUACAUUAAUUUAUGAGUUUUUGAUCCUUACUUUAAGAUUAAAAGAUAAAAUUACCUUAGGGAUAACAGCGUUAUUUUUUUUGAGAGUUCAAAUCGAAAAAAAAGAUUGCGACCUCGAUGUUGGAUUAAAAUAAAUUUUUGGUGUAGAAGCUAAA
This 476-nucleotide ribosomal RNA is filed under the name Sitophilus oryzae (rice weevil). RNAcentral's name for it is "partial 16S ribosomal RNA". The record is from RNAcentral. Lineage: Eukaryota; Metazoa; Arthropoda; Insecta; Coleoptera; Curculionidae.